GAGAAGCUCUACACUUAUUCAAACUACUAGAAUCAUCAAACGCAUAACUAUAAGCUUUAGGACAAAUCGCUUUAAACAGAUUCGCGAACAGAGUCGGCUUACACGCCUGAGGAUUCGCAUAUUCACCGGUGCAACAAUACUUAGCCGAUUGCAUCGCCAAGCAAGCACUUUUACAACCAACCACUUUCCCAUCUCUCUUAACUUCCAAAGCUGAUGGACAACAAAUGUUCAAAUUCACUUCACAAGCCGCAACGCCA
Molecule: long non-coding RNA, 257 nt
Organism: Arabidopsis thaliana (thale cress)
Lineage: Eukaryota; Viridiplantae; Streptophyta; Magnoliopsida; Brassicales; Brassicaceae
Product: other RNA
Exons: 1
Source: RefSeq